CGGCGCGGAGGCGGCUCCGGCCCUACCCAGCCCGUGGGCCCCCGAGCUCGGCCGCGAGAGGGGGAGGGGGCGGCGGCGACCCCGCGACGCGCGGGAGCUCCGGGCCCGGCGCGAGGGCGGAUAACGGGGUCGGGGCUGCCGGAUAACGGGACCAGGAGGCGGAUAACGGAGCCGGCCGGGAGGGGGGGGAGAGAAAAUAAAGGGGUGAAGCCGGCGGGUAACGGGCUCCGGAAGGGACGAGCAGCUGACUCCGGGGUGCUGGGAGUCCGUGUGAUCUCAGAGCUCCCUCCGGGGACCCAGGGCCUCCCUCCGGUCGGGCUGGCGAUAGAGGUUCCUCGCCCAGUCCCGGAUCCCGGGGCGAAGGGGUGGGGGUGGUGUGGGGAGGUGAACGUAGAGAGGCCGGCACCUGCGAGCCUGCGUGGGUCGGGAACUCUGGGAUCAGAAGAAUAAUCGAAGAUGCCCUAUUCAACCUCAACCACCAAGUCUUUCUGGUUUCUCAUUUUCCUUGGCCCUGAAGCCCUAGAUUGGAACUCUUCUCCCCCGGGUCCCCGCAGUAAGCAGCGGAUCGCGAACCAUAUGCAUGCUAGUAGUUUGUGCAAAGAGUGCAUUUGUACCCACGGACGUGUGUGGUCCAGGCUGUCUGUGGAGUGUGUGCAUUGGUGUGUCUGAAGGGGCCACUGUGUCGGCCGAAGGGAGUGUGUACCCUGUGUGUAAGUUGGUGCUGACUCCGCCAGAACUUCUGGUCCCUCCUCCUCCCUCCCUGAUUGCAUCAUUAGUGCUAAUUGAGGGGCUUUCACACGCCAGUGCAUUAGCUGUUUGGAGUGAGCUCCCCCCUCCUGGGAGAGAUAAGCCGCUGCCCCUCCCCAUCCCAGCCCUCCACUUCCCCACAGCCCUGGAACUGUCCACCCAGAACCUCUCACCUUCCCGGGCACCUUCCUGCCUCUCUCUGGUUCUGGAUUGGUUAAUCUCUUUCCUCCCCGCAGUGUCAGAGAUUGGCAGGAGAGGAGUCAGGGAGGUGUCAGAAGGACACCUCUCUGAGGGGGUGUCAGGGAGGGAAGAUUUUCCUCCAGGGGGCUGGAAAGUUCUGGCAUUCCUACAGAAUGCAGAGUCACCGUGAUGAGAGAGGGGACAGGAAUCUCUGCCUGAUUCUUUUGGACAUGGAAGGGCAGAGGAGAGGACUGGGACUUUGAUCUCCAGCCUGCUAUUCCACUGCGGGAGAAGAAUCAUCAUUUCAAAGAAUUGAAAAAGACACAAAACAUCGCUUCCACUUCCAGCUCGGGUCUGUAGUAUGCCCACCUGCCCUGUCCUGGAGACUGGCAGGGCCAGCCGCCUCCUCAGGUAGAACUCUGGAAGCUCGUCACUCUCUUCUGAUUGAAGAGGGAGAAGCAAUGACUGCGGCUAUUCUUUGGCCUUGGUUGGCUGCUGGGAAUCCUGUGUCCAGGCUGUGGGAAGAUGUGAGUGCAGGCCUGAAGGCCAGCUGCUUGCCUGUCAGGAAGGCCGCCAGGUGAGUCACAGCUGGAGCACUUCCUCCGUGGGCUCAGGGCCCAACCCCCUGUCUUGUCCUGUGGAGUGUGACAUGGAGGAGAAAGCAGGUC
Long non-coding RNA from Ailuropoda melanoleuca (giant panda), 1595 nucleotides. RefSeq lists it as uncharacterized. The record is from RefSeq and is a predicted model, not a curated record. NCBI's taxonomy places the organism in Eukaryota, Metazoa, Chordata, Mammalia, Carnivora, Ursidae. The transcript is spliced from 3 exons.